Helianthus annuus (common sunflower) is the source of this 300-nucleotide long non-coding RNA. RefSeq lists it as uncharacterized. The record is from RefSeq and is a predicted model, not a curated record. NCBI's taxonomy places the organism in Eukaryota, Viridiplantae, Streptophyta, Magnoliopsida, Asterales, Asteraceae. The transcript is spliced from 3 exons.
AGAAGAAGAGUAGGGGCGACUCCCCACUCUCAAACCCUAAAAACUCAAUAAACUUGCAAAUUGAAGGCUCAAUCCAAGUCAAAAUCGAAAUUAAAGUGUAGAUUAUUGAUCCUCAUCACAAGAGGAUUACAAGUUGGCGCUUAAACAAGCCAGGUGAAGCUUGGAGUGAAAGCGGAUCAAACGAGUCAAGCAUAGAAGAAAAGCGUAGCUCGGAUGCAAGGUGAAUGUCGAGAGUGCACGGAUGGAGAUCAAGCGUCGAGCAAGAACCGAACACGAAUACGAAAUAAGCUUCCGCGCUAU